RNAcentral lists this unclassified non-coding RNA (365 nucleotides) under Hevea brasiliensis (rubber tree). Lineage: Eukaryota; Viridiplantae; Streptophyta; Magnoliopsida; Malpighiales; Euphorbiaceae. The record is from RNAcentral.
GCCAGUCAUUGCCCAUUAUUGGAAAGUAUUGACCUAACAAACUUUCGUGGGGAUGCAGAAUUGGAGCUAGAUGGUUGCCUCAGUUUAAAGGAAAUUGAGGGAUAUUUUAACUUGGAACCAUUAGCAGCUGACAUCGUUGAAAGGCUUUUGAGAAGCAACAGCUUAUCCAUGCAAGAUUUGACUACGAACAUUCAUGUUCGCAAGAUUGACAAUCUGACCAAAACUAAUAAGAUAUGUCCCCUUCAGACACUUUCUGAGAGGGGUAUACAUAGCAUCUUUCUAACUGGUAGUGAGAUUCCAACGUGGUUCAGCCAUCAAAGUGAAGGUGAUACUGUAUCUUUUUGUGUGCCUCAGCUUGAUUCAGG